RNAcentral lists this ribosomal RNA (798 nucleotides) under Neoprotoparmelia orientalis. RNAcentral's name for it is "SSU rRNA". It matches the Rfam family "Bacterial small subunit ribosomal RNA", at positions 346 to 1238 of the family's 1533-position model. The record is from RNAcentral. Lineage: Eukaryota; Fungi; Ascomycota; Lecanoromycetes; Lecanorales; Parmeliaceae.
CAGRAACUUGGAGGAAUGUAUAGCAAUAGCUAAUUGCACCAACAAACAGUUGAUGCAAUAUCGACUAUGUCGAAUAAAAUUCUAGGUAUAGUUAUGAUAAUGACAUUUUAUGCCUAUGUGUCUUGACCAAAUUACGUGCCAGCAGUCGCGGUAAUACGUAGAAGACUAGUGUUAUUCAUCUUUAAUUGGUUUAAAGGGUACUUAGACGGUAAAUCAAGCCUUAAAACAAGGGACUAUUUUACUAGAGUUACAUGUGAGGGGGCUAUCAGGUACUGACGGUGGAGAGAUGAAAUUCUGUCAUUCCUUUGAAGGCACAGGUAUAGGCGAAAGCAUCCCAUUAUGUGAUAACUGACGUUGAGGGACGAAGGCUUUUGUAGCGAACAGGAUUAGUUACCCCAGUAGUCCAAGCAGAAAAUGAUGAAUGUCAUAGAUUAGAUAAAAAUAUUUAGUCUAUAAAUGAAAGUGUAAGCAUUCCACCUCAAGAGUAAUUUGGCAACAUUGGAACUGAAAUCAUUAGACCGUUUCUGAAACCAGUAGUGAAGUAUGUUGUUUAAUUUGAUAAUCCGCAAAAAACCUUACCACAAUUUGAAUAUUUAUAUUUUAAUAUAUUUACAAGCGUUGCACGGCUGUCUUCAGUUAAUGUCGUGAGACUUUGGUUAGUUCCAUUAAAUUAACGUAAACCCUUACUUUAUUUUUUAUAUAAAGUGGUUCCCCGCUAUAUUGGAUAUGAUAACAGGGACUAGGACAAGUCAUCAUGGCCUAAAUAUUGUGGGCUAUAGACGUGCCACAUAAACCCCA